RNAcentral lists this transfer RNA (88 nucleotides) under Candidatus Gottesmanbacteria bacterium. RNAcentral's name for it is "tRNA-Leu". It matches the Rfam family "tRNA". From Rfam's summary of the family: Transfer RNA (tRNA) molecules are approximately 80 nucleotides in length. Their secondary structure includes four short double-helical elements and three loops (D, anti-codon, and T loops). Further hydrogen bonds mediate the characteristic L-shaped molecular structure. tRNAs have two regions of fundamental functional importance: the anti-codon, which is responsible for specific mRNA codon recognition, and the 3' end, to which the tRNAs corresponding amino acid is attached (by aminoacyl-tRNA synthetases). tRNAs cope with the degeneracy of the genetic code in two manners: having more than one tRNA (with a specific anti-codon) for a particular amino acid; and 'wobble' base-pairing, i.e. permitting non-standard base-pairing at the 3rd anti-codon position. The record is from RNAcentral. Lineage: Bacteria; Candidatus Gottesmaniibacteriota.
GGCCAGAUGGCGGAACUGGUAUACGCGCAAGACUUAAAAUCUUGUGGGUGUAAAAUCACCCGUGAGGGUUCGAUCCCCUCUCUGGCCA